UAAUACGGGGGGGGCAAGCGUUGUUCGGAAUCACUGGGCGUAAAGGGCGCGUGGGCGGCCACCGCAAGUCGACUGUGAAAUCUCCGGGCUUAACCCGGAAAGGUCAGCCGAUACUGCGGGGCUAGAGUGCAGAAGGGGCAACUGGAAUUCUCGGUGUAGCGGUGAAAUGCGUAGAUAUCGAGAGGAACACCUGCGGCGAAGGCGGGUUGCUGGGCUGACGCUGACGCCGAGGCGCGAAAGCUAGGGGAGCGAACGGG
This 257-nucleotide ribosomal RNA is filed under the name uncultured prokaryote. RNAcentral describes it as "partial 16S ribosomal RNA". It matches the Rfam family "Bacterial small subunit ribosomal RNA", at positions 521 to 776 of the family's 1533-position model. The record is from RNAcentral.